UGCCAGCCGCCGCGGUAAGACGGAAGAUCCAAGCGUUAUUCGGAAUGACUGGGCGUAAAGAGUUGCGUAGGUUGUUUUGUAAGCAAAGCAUGAAAUCGUAAGGCUCAACCUUACAACGGUGCUUUGAACUGCAGAACUAGAGUAUGGUAGAGGUAACUGGAAUUUCUAGUGUAGGAGUGAAAUCCGUAGAUAUUAGAAGGAACACCAAUGGCGUAGGCAGGUUACUGGACCAUUACUGACACUGAGGCACGAAAGCGUGGGGAGCGAACGGGAUUAGAUA
RNAcentral lists this ribosomal RNA (280 nucleotides) under uncultured bacterium. RNAcentral describes it as "partial 16S ribosomal RNA". It matches the Rfam family "Bacterial small subunit ribosomal RNA", at positions 506 to 784 of the family's 1533-position model. The record is from RNAcentral.